Molecule: ribosomal RNA, 301 nt
Filed under: uncultured bacterium
Lineage: Bacteria
Description: partial 16S ribosomal RNA
Rfam family: Bacterial small subunit ribosomal RNA
Source: RNAcentral
CAGUAGCCACGGGAAUACGGAGGAUGCAAGCGUUAUCCGGAAUCAUUGGGUUUAAAGGGUCCGUAGGCGGUCUUGUAAGUCAGUGGUGAAAGCCCAUCGCUCAACGGUGGAACGGCCAUUGAUACUGCAGGACUUGAAUUAUUGGGAAGUAACUAGAAUAUGUAGUGUAGCGGUGAAAUGCUUAGAGAUUACAUGGAAUACCAAUUGCGAAGGCAGGUUACUACCAAUUGAUUGACGCUGAUGGACGAAAGCGUGGGUAGCGAACAGGAUUAGAUACCCCGGUAGUCCCUGUCUCUUAUAC